AUGUGAUCAUUAGGCUUGUAAUUUCUAUUUUAUUCCUUUUUAAAAAACUAAUUCAUUUUCAUUGUGUUUUACAAAAGGAUUAGUUCAAGAGGGUUGAGGACUACAAAAACAACAACAACGACGUUUCUUGGGUUGGAAGCAUGUGCCUCAGAGAGUUACAGCUAAUUCAGGCACGUGACUGUCAGGGCUGUUCCACUCCUGUCACGUCCCUCCCAUCUCCUUCUCUUCAGAAGCCCCAGAGACAGUCUCAGAGGUUCAAGGAGCCCAGUUUUAUUCUAUAUCCUCCUCCCUGAUAUAAAAAGAAGAUGUUUCUCCCUGUGGGCUUCAGCCUUUUGCUUUUCUACAAGGGCGUGCUGUGUAACCAAGUGACCCAGAGUUCCCCGGAGCAGAGGGUGGCGACUGGCAGUGAGGUGACACUGCUCUGCACUUUCCAAACCUUAUAUUCAAAUCCAUACUUGUACUGGUACCGAAGAAGACCAGAUGGUGUCUUCCAGUUUGUCCUGUAUCGGGACAACGCUAAAUCCCAUGAUGCAGAUUUUGCUCAGGGUAGAUUUUCCGUGCAGCAUAGUGUGAGCCGCAAAACCUUCCACUUGGUGAUCUCCUCCUUGAGGCCUGAAGACACUGCCACGUACUACUGUGCUUUAGAGCUCCCACAGUGAUGCAGGCGCCCAGGAAGUCUUCACACAAACCCCUGGGCACAGCCUCGCAGAGCUGCUUCUCUGGGCAGCUCAUGUCCUUGGACAUGGCAUCCUUCUUCCUCGUCAUUCUGUGGUCCAGUCUGGCCUUGGGAGGUGCCCUAACGCGUCUGCCUAAUACGAAAAAGCCUGGUUACUUGCAGGGGAGCACCCCGACUUCCAAUGGAAGAGAUGUCGCCCCACUUCACAGAGGGCCCUUGCUGCCCUGGUGCCCGUGGUGGGGAAGGGAGACUGCCUGUCUGAGGGACCCUGGUGCCCGGGUUGUGCCUGAUACAGAGAAGGGCUUGACAGGGAUGUGCUGUGUGCCCUGGGCGGAUAGCCAGAUGGGGUGGGUGGGGGACCAAUCUAAAGAGAGCCCAUUGGAAGUGUGUUUAUUUUAUCUCCAUCGUUUAGCCAUUGUUGGAAUUGGCCUGUUUCCCUUUUAAGAUUCAAAUUGGACACAAAGUUAUUUACUUUAAAAAAUGUCCCCAGUUUAACUUUCAUGAACAUCUUCUUGUGCAGUUACUUUAUUUCUCUGGGAUGUUCUUUGGUACCUCCUUUUUACUUUGUCUGGAGAAUAUUUUCCUUUCACCAAAGAGCUUUGAGAUAUUCCCAGAAAGCUGUCUGUGAAAACCAGAAUCCCAGCUUCAAAGUUCCUGAGUUUGGAGCCCAGUGGCAUCCCCAGGGGAGAGAAUUACCUCCAGGGUAAACCAAGAUGUGAUGUCAAAAAUAGAUACACCCUCAGCCCUGGGAUUGCACCCCUCCUUCCUCUACUACUGAUGUUUCUGCCUUAAGACAACUAUUAGAGUUAUUAAGUGUAAUCUUAGAAAUAGUAGAAGUCUUGGUGGUGGUUGUUGAGUUGCUAAGUCGUGUUGGACUCUUUUGUGACCCCAAGGACUGUGGCCCACCAGACUCC
Molecule: non-coding RNA, 1590 nt
Organism: Cervus elaphus (red deer)
Lineage: Eukaryota; Metazoa; Chordata; Mammalia; Artiodactyla; Cervidae
Source: the annotation of a RefSeq genome assembly